GAUGAACGCUAGCUACAGGCUUAACACAUGCAAGUCGCGGGGCAGCAUGGGGGUUGCUUGCAAUCCCCGAUGGCGACCGGCGCACGGGUGAGUAACGCGUAUCCAACCUGCCCUUCACCACGGGAUAACCCGGCGAAAGUCGGACUAAUACCGUAUGUUGUCCAUUGACGGCAUCCGAUUUGGACGAAAGGUGUGGCGGUGAAGGAGGGGGAUGCGUCCGAUUAGCUGGACGGCGGGGUGACGGCCCACCGUGGCGACGAUCGGUAGGGGUUCUGAGAGGAAGGUCCCCCACACUGGAACUGAGACACGGUCCAGACUCCUACGGGAGGCAGCAGUGAGGAAUAUUGGUCAAUGGGCGUAAGCCUGAACCAGCCAAGUAGCGUGCAGGAUGACGGCCCUAUGGGUUGUAAACUGCUUUUAUGCGGGGAUAAAGUGGCCCACGUGUGGGUUUUUGCAGGUACCGCAUGAAUAAGGACCGGCUAAUUCCGUG
Molecule: ribosomal RNA, 490 nt
Filed under: uncultured bacterium
Lineage: Bacteria
Description: partial 16S ribosomal RNA
Rfam family: Bacterial small subunit ribosomal RNA
Source: RNAcentral